RNAcentral lists this ribosomal RNA (3090 nucleotides) under Candidatus Daviesbacteria bacterium GW2011_GWC2_40_12. Its description in RNAcentral is "bacterial SSU rRNA". The stretch from base 788 to 2111 matches the Rfam family "Bacterial small subunit ribosomal RNA". The record is from RNAcentral. Lineage: Bacteria; Candidatus Daviesiibacteriota.
UGAGAGUUUGAUCCUGGCUCAGGAUAAACGUUGGCGGCGUGCCUUAGGCAUGCAAAUCAAGGGGCUCCGACGCAAGUCGGAGAACCGGUGGACGGGUGAGUAAUACGCAGGAAUCUGCCUGGAAGUGGGAUAUAGCUCGGCGAAAGCCGGGGUAAUCUCCCAUGUGAACGCAAGUUUAAAGCCGCAAGGCGCUUCUAGAUGAGCCUGCGUCCUAUCAGCUAGUUGGUGGGGUAAUGGCCUACCAAGGCGACGACGGGUAGCUGGACUGAGAGGUCGGUCAGCCACAAUGGGACUGCGACCAGAACUGAUCGCCUGCAUUGGUAACGAUGCAGUAAAAUCCAACUAAUAACGGUGGAGUCCAAACAAGCUACUUGACUUCGGGUAACCUUUGGGUUACGUUAGAAGUAUGUACGUUUGGGAUAAUACCGUGGGAAGUUCUAGAAGAGUUAAUCCAACGGCGCUAGCAUAUAUUGCAGGAUUUUUAGACGGUGAUGGGUGUAUUAAAGCAAGACUAGAUAAACAACCAAACAAUAAGUUUGGCUGGAGAACUAGAAUUGCAGUUAGCUUUACCCAACACACUAGAAAUCGGCAUGUAUUGGAUUGGAUAUACAGCCAGCUUAGAAAUGGUUCUAUAGCUGACUAUCCAUCUAAAAAUUUAUCAGAGUAUGUAAUUACUGAUAGUAAAUUUGUGGAGCGUUUGUUGAAGGGUUUAAAACUAUAUGUAGUGAAUAAGUUCAAACAAUUAGAUUUGGCUUUACAGCUUCUAAUUUUAAAAGAUCGUUUUAAGAAUAAAGAUUCUUUUAAUAAAGGUUUAGAAUUAGCGCUACAAAUUAGAGGUUUAAAUCAUUAUCACAAAAAACAUUUUUCUAGUAACCCCGUAACGACUGACAUGGAAGGUACCAGAUAAUCUGGGAUACUAAACUUCCAUUACAUGUUGGCUCCCCCGAUCAAAUCGGGGGAUGAAGAUAUAGUCUGAUACUCCGAGGGAUCGGAGAAAACAUUUAUGACGGCCCAUACACCUACGGGUGGCAGCAACCGGGAAUAUUCGACAAUGGACGAAAGUCUGAUCGAGCGACGCCGCGUGGAGGAUGAAGGCCCUCGGGUUGUAAACUCCUUUUAUCUGGGAAGAUUAUGACGGUACCAGAUGAAUAAGCACUUGCUAACUACGUGCCAGAAGCCUCGGUAAUGCGUAGAGUGCAAACGUUAUCCGGAUUUAUUGGGCGUAAAGAGUUGCGUAGGCUGAUCCGUGCAUUUUGUUUGAAAUGCUCUGACUUAAUCAGGGAUUUGGACAAAAUAUGGCGGAUCUUGAUGGUUGGAGAGGGUGCUGGAACCUGAGGUGUAGCAGUGAAAUGCGUUGAUAUCUCAGGGAACACCAAAGGCGUAGGCAGGCACCUAGACAACACAUGACGCUGAGGCACGAAAGCUGGGGGAGCGAAGCAGAUUAGAGACCUGCGUAGUCCCAGCCGUAAACUAUCUCUGCUAGAUAGCCGCUUUUGCGGCUGUCGCAGCUAACGCGUUAAGCAGAGCGCCUGGGGAGUACGAGCGCAAGCUUAAAACUCAAAGGAAUUGACGGGGACCCGCACAAGCAGUGGAGCGUGUUGUUUAAUUCGAUACGAAACGAAAAACCUCACCAGGGCUUGACAUGCUAGCGUUCUAUUCCCAGGAAACUGGGGAAAUGCGUAAGCAGGCUAGCACAGAUGCUGCAUGGCUGUCGUCAGCUCGUGGCGUGAGCUGUUCCAUUAAGUUGGGAAACGAGCGCAACCCUCACCGUAUGUUAAAUAAUUCAUGCGGAACAGCCCCGAUUUUUCGGGGAGGAAGGCGAGGAUGACGUCAAGUCAGCACGGUUCUUACGCCCUGGGCCACAAACACACUACAAUGGCGAAAAACAACGAGUUGCAAGCUAGCAAUAGCAAGCUAAUCUCUGAAAUUUCGCCUCAGUUCAGAUUGGGGUCUGCAACCCGACCCCAUGAAGUCGGAAUUGCUAGUAAUCGCGGAUCAGCGUGCCGCGGUGAAUACGUUCUCGGGUCUUGUACACACCGCCUAUAGUAUUUAAUAUAAUGCUAUAUAAAACGCGCAUGGCAGCGUAAAUAACUAGUUGGUUAAAAUCCAACCUAUAACUCAUAGUAGCCAAAAAAAAUUGGCAGAUCCAGUAGAGUAAUUUAUUGGUUCGGAGGGCCUGAGGCAAAGAACAGUCCUCAUUAAAAUAAGUUUUCUAAUAGAUGAUCUCGGCCGGGCGGUUUGAGAGAAAUCUAACAUUUUUGUAGAAAACUUUAGAGGAAUGUUUGGAAAAGUUAUUUAUGUGACCCAUGGAGAUCCUAAUAAGAAGGAAGUAAUUGCUUAAGAGCGUAAGCUCGCAAGCUUAGCUUAUUAGGAAGUCAGCAGAUUCAUAGUAAGUAUUGACAAGGAGUAAAAUUCAGUUUAAUCUGGAUUUGUACCGAAUAAAUACCGAAGGAAUCUACGAAAUGUUAACUGCAGACUAUAUUGUUGGUUUAACUGAUGGAGAAGGUUGUUUUCUGGUUCAAAUCAGAACUGAUUGUCGGAUAGUUCUCCGAUAUUUCAUAACACAACGUUUUGAUAAUAAAGAACUUUUAGAUAAAGUUUUUGAAUUUUUCAAAAUAGGUUAUGUAUAUCGGAAAUUUCAGGGCAACGACAAAAAGAAAAUGACUUUUGUCUAUGAAGUAACCAAGCAGGAUGAUAUCCAAAAUGUGAUUGUUCCUUUUUUCAAGAAACAUCUACUAGAGGGUGUCAAACAAAAAUCUUUUGAAAGAUUUGCCCGUAUUGCUGAGAUUGUUAGAAAUCGUCAGGAUAUACGCAAGUUAACAAAAGAAGAAUUAGAAGACGUUUGGCAGUUAAAGCUCACUAUGAAUACACUUCAUAAUGAGUUAAGAAGAAACAUUUCGGCUCGCUUAGUGCCGGAAAUCGGCUCGCUAAGUGGGAACGGAAAGCAGCUUUAAGCUAUUCCAAUCCGUCAAGGCAGCAAAGUCAGGGGCACCCGAACUCCGAUGUACUUCGGAGGAAGGUGAAACUGGCGAUGAAGCUUAAGUCGUAACAAGGUAUCCCUAGCCGAAGCUGGGGAUGGAUCACCUCCUU